This 535-nucleotide ribosomal RNA is filed under the name uncultured soil bacterium. RNAcentral's name for it is "bacterial SSU rRNA". It matches the Rfam family "Bacterial small subunit ribosomal RNA", at positions 35 to 573 of the family's 1533-position model. The record is from RNAcentral.
GCUGGCGGCGUGCUUAACACAUGCAAGUCGAGUGCGCGCCUGUAGCAAUACAGGUGGCGCACGGCGCACGGGUGCGUAACACGUGGGUAAUCUGCCCUUUGAUGGGGAAUAACUCGCCGAAAGGCGAGCUAAUUCCGCAUAAUAUUCCGGAAACUUAUGUUUCUGGACUGAAAGGCGUAAGUCGUCGGAGGAGGAGCCCGCGCACGAUUAGCUAGUUGGUAGGGUAAUGGCCUACCAAGGCUUUGAUCGUUAGCUGGUCUGAGAGGAUGGCCAGCCACACUGGAACUGAGACACGGUCCAGACUCCUACGGGAGGCAGCAGUGGGGAAUCUUGCACAAUGGGCGAAAGCCUGAUGCAGCGACGCCGCGUGGGGGAUGAAGCUUCUCGGAGUGUAAACCCCUUUCGAUCCGGACGAAUGCCCGCAAGGGAGUGACGGUACGGAUAUAAGAAGCCCCGGCUAACUACGUGCCAGCAGCCGCGGUAAUACGUAGGGGGCCAAGCGUUGUUCGGAAUUACUGGGUGUAAAGGGUUCGUA